This 776-nucleotide ribosomal RNA is filed under the name uncultured Neocallimastigales. RNAcentral describes it as "partial large subunit ribosomal RNA". It matches the Rfam family "Eukaryotic large subunit ribosomal RNA", at positions 22 to 635 of the family's 3401-position model. Lineage: Eukaryota; Fungi; Neocallimastigomycota; Neocallimastigomycetes; Neocallimastigales. The record is from RNAcentral.
GUACACGCUGUGACUAGCAUAUCAAUAAGCGGAGGAAAAGAAACUAACAAGGAUUCCCCUAGUAACGGCGAGUGAAGCGGGAAGAGCUCAAAUUUGAAAUCUUAAAGGGUUUCCCUUUACGAAUUGUAGCUUAAAGAAGUGUUUUCUGUUGAGGUUUUGGUAAAAGUUCUUUGGAAUAGGACAUCAUAGAGGGUGAGAAUCCCGUAUUUGACCUUUACUUUCAACUUUGUGAUACACUUUCAAAGAGUCGGAUUGUUUGGGAAUGCAGUCCAAAAUGGGUGGUAAAUUUCAUCUAAAGCUAAAUAUUGGCGAGAGACCGAUAGCGAACAAGUACCGUGAGGGAAAGAUGAAAAGAACUUUGAAAAGAGAGUUAAACAGUACGUGAAAUUGUCAAAAGGGAAGCGUUUGACACCAGUGUUGUUUUUCUGAAAAUCAAUUAAAGAACUGUUUAUGCUAAGUUGUUUAGACUUUAUCAGCUAAUCUGUUUAGUUUUGAGCUUUUCUUUAAUGCACCUUUUCAGUUAACAAGUCAACAUCAAUUUCUUUUGCUGUAAAAAAGCUUGAGGAAGGUGGCUUGAGAUUCGUCUUAAGUGUUUAUAGCCUCUUGCCUAUGCAGUCGGAGAGAUUGAGGUCUGCAGCGUAGAUCCUUCGGGGCUAAAUGCAUUUGUGCUAAGUUAUAGCAUUUUAUAGACAACUUGUUGACUAUGAUUUGUCUUGUAGCUUACUCGCUUAUGUUAUUUUACCUACGCUUAGGAUGUUGAAGAUGUAGCACAUCAU